AGUCGAACGAUGAACCACUUCGGUGUGGAUUAGUGGCGAACGGGUGAGUAACACGUGGGCAAUCUGCCCUGCACUCUGGGACAAGCCCUGGAAACGGGGUCUAAUACCGGAUAACACUCCUGCAGGCAUCUGUGGGUGUUAAAAGCUCCGGCGGUGAAGGAUGAGCCCGCGGCCUAUCAGCUUGUUGGUGAGGUAGUGGCUCACCAAGGCGACGACGGGUAGCCGGCCUGAGAGGGCGACCGGCCACACUGGGACUGAGACACGGCCCAGACUCCUACGGGAGGCAGCAGUGGGGAAUAUUGCACAAUGGGCGAAAGCCUGAUGCAGCGACGCCCGUGAGGGAUGACGGCCUUCGGGUUGUAAACCUCUUUCAGCAGGGAAGAAGCGAAAGUGACGGUACCUGCAGAAGAAGCGCCGGCUAACUACGUGCCAGCAGCCGCGGUAAUACGUAGGGCGCAAGCGUUGUCCGGAAUUAUUGGGCGUAAAGAGCUCGUAGGCGGCUUGUCGCGUCGGUUGUGAAAGCCCGGGGCUUAACCCCGGGUCUGCAGUCGAUACGGGCAGGCUAGAGUUCGGUAGGGGAGAUCGGAAUUCCUGGUGUAGCGGUGAAAUGCGCAGAUAUCAGGAGGAACACCGGUGGCGAAGGCGGAUCUCUGGGCCGAUACUGACGCUGAGGAGCGAAAGCGUGGGGGAGCGAACAGGAUUAGAUACCCUGGUAGUCCACGCCGUAAACGGUGGGCACUAGGUGUGGGCAACAUUCCACGUUGUCCGUGCCGCAGCUAACGCAUUAAGUGCCCCGCCUGGGGAGUACGGCCGCAAGGCUAAAACUCAAAGGAAUUGACGGGGGCCCGCACAAGCAGCGGAGCAUGUGGCUUAAUUCGACGCAACGCGAAGAACCUUACCAAGGCUUGACAUACACCGGAAAGCAUUAGAGAUAGUGCCCCCCUUGUGGUCGGUGUACAGGUGGUGCAUGGCGUCGUCAGCUCGUGUCGUGAGAUGUUGGGUUAAGUCCCGCAACGAGCGCAACCCUUGUUCUGUGUUGCCAGCAUGCCCUUCGGGGUGAUGGGGACUCACAGGAGACCGCCGGGGUCAACUCGGAGGAAGGUGGGGACGACGUCAAGUCAUCAUGCCCCUUAUGUCUUGGGCUGCACACGUGCUACAAUGGCAGGUAC
RNAcentral lists this ribosomal RNA (1169 nucleotides) under Streptomyces sp. Its description in RNAcentral is "bacterial SSU rRNA". It matches the Rfam family "Bacterial small subunit ribosomal RNA", at positions 60 to 1240 of the family's 1533-position model. Lineage: Bacteria; Bacillati; Actinomycetota; Actinomycetes; Kitasatosporales; Streptomycetaceae. The record is from RNAcentral.